RNAcentral lists this ribosomal RNA (450 nucleotides) under uncultured bacterium. Its description in RNAcentral is "partial 16S ribosomal RNA". It matches the Rfam family "Bacterial small subunit ribosomal RNA", at positions 354 to 796 of the family's 1533-position model. The record is from RNAcentral.
GUGGGGAAUAUUCCGCAAUGGACGAAAGUCUGACGGAGCAACGCCGCGUGAGUGAUGAAGGUUUUCGGACUGUAAAGCUCUGUUGUUUAGGACGAAAGUGCCUGCUGCGAACAGUUGCAGGUAUUGACGGUACUGAACGAGGAAGCCACGGCUAACUACGUGCCAGCAGCCGCGGUAAUACGUAGGUGGCAAGCGUUGUCCGGAAUUAUUGGGCGUAAAGAGCAUGUAGGCGGGAAUCUAAGUCUGUUGUGAAAAUGCGGGGCUCAACCCCGUAUGGCGAUGGAAACUGGAUUUCUUGAGUGCAGGAGAGGAAAGGGGAAUUCCCAGUGUAGCGGUGAAAUGCGUAGAUAUUGGGAGGAACACCAGUGGCGAAGGCGCCUUUCUGGACUGUGUCUGACGCUGAGAUGCGAAAGCCAGGGUAGCGAACGGGAUUAGAUACCCCUGUAGUCC